This 399-nucleotide ribosomal RNA is filed under the name uncultured Pichia. Its description in RNAcentral is "SSU rRNA". It matches the Rfam family "Eukaryotic small subunit ribosomal RNA", at positions 555 to 961 of the family's 1831-position model. The record is from RNAcentral. Lineage: Eukaryota; Fungi; Ascomycota; Saccharomycetes; Saccharomycetales; Saccharomycetaceae.
GCAAGUCUGGUGCCAGCAGCCGCGGUAAUUCCAGCUCCAAGAGCGUAUGUAAAAGUUGUUGCAGUUAAAAAGCUCGUAGUUGAACCUUGGGCUUGGUUGGCCGGUCCGCUUAUUUGCGAGUACUGGACUCAACCGAGCCUUUCCUCCUGGCUAACUAGUUGCCCUUGUGGUGGCUAGCGAACCAGGAAUUUUACUUUGAGAAAAUUAGAGUGUUCAAAGCAGGCAUUAGCUUGAAUAUAUUAGCAUGGAAUAAUAGAAUAGGACGUUAUGGUUCUAUUUUGUUGGUUUCUAGGACCAUCGUAAUGAUUAAUAGGGACGGUCGGGGGCAUCAGUAUUCAGUUGUCAGAGGUGAAAUUCUUGGAUUUACUGAAGACUAACUACUGCGAAAGCAUUUGCCAA